Molecule: transfer RNA, 66 nt
Filed under: Osphya sp. n.
Lineage: Eukaryota; Metazoa; Arthropoda; Insecta; Coleoptera; Melandryidae
Description: tRNA-Arg
Source: RNAcentral
AAAUAAGAAGCAAAUAAUUGCAGUUAGUUUCGACCUAAAAAUUUGAUUUUUCAAAAUCCUUAUUUA